RNAcentral lists this small RNA (208 nucleotides) under Moellerella wisconsensis. Its description in RNAcentral is "GlmZ RNA activator of glmS mRNA". It matches the Rfam family "GlmZ RNA activator of glmS mRNA". From Rfam's summary of the family: This RNA was discovered in E. coli during a large scale screen. The sraJ gene was expressed in early logarithmic phase, but its level decreased with cell growth. Lineage: Bacteria; Pseudomonadati; Pseudomonadota; Gammaproteobacteria; Enterobacterales; Morganellaceae. RNAcentral also lists the same sequence under 1 other name. The record is from RNAcentral.
GUAGAUGCUCAUCCUAUUUAUUAUGACAGCCAAUGCUUCAUAAAGCCGGGGAUGAUGCAGAGUCGAUUAUCGGUGCCUAUUGUCCAAUAUAGAUGAGUAAGAUUAGCCAUCUUUUCAUCAGCCAGUGGACGUAACGUUGAGUGAGGCACCACCCGUCUGUAGACCUGAUUGUAUUUUUAUACACCUGCCUGUUGGUAGGUGUUUUUUU